UGGCAGGUGCCCCGAAUGGUAAGGGACCCGGCUGUUAACCGGGCGGUGCGCGAGCACCAUGUAGGUUCGAGUCCUACCCUGCCAG
RNAcentral lists this transfer RNA (85 nucleotides) under Planctomycetota bacterium. Its description in RNAcentral is "Planctomycetes bacterium (soil metagenome) tRNA-Asn". It matches the Rfam family "tRNA". Rfam says of the family: Transfer RNA (tRNA) molecules are approximately 80 nucleotides in length. Their secondary structure includes four short double-helical elements and three loops (D, anti-codon, and T loops). Further hydrogen bonds mediate the characteristic L-shaped molecular structure. tRNAs have two regions of fundamental functional importance: the anti-codon, which is responsible for specific mRNA codon recognition, and the 3' end, to which the tRNAs corresponding amino acid is attached (by aminoacyl-tRNA synthetases). tRNAs cope with the degeneracy of the genetic code in two manners: having more than one tRNA (with a specific anti-codon) for a particular amino acid; and 'wobble' base-pairing, i.e. permitting non-standard base-pairing at the 3rd anti-codon position. The record is from RNAcentral. Lineage: Bacteria; Pseudomonadati; Planctomycetota.